UACGUAGGGUGCGAGCGUUAAUCGGAAUUACUGGGCGUAAAGCGUGCGCAGGCGGCUUUGCAAGACAGAUGUGAAAUCCCCGGGCUCAACCUGGGAACUGCAUUUGUGACUGCAAGGCUAGAGUACGGCAGAGGGGGAUGGAAUUCCGCGUGUAGCAGUGAAAUGCGUAGAUAUGCGGAAGAACACCAAUGGCGAAGGCAAUCCCCUGGGCCUGUACUGACGCUCAUGCACGAAAGCGUGGGGAGCAAACAGG
This 253-nucleotide ribosomal RNA is filed under the name uncultured bacterium. RNAcentral's name for it is "partial 16S ribosomal RNA". It matches the Rfam family "Bacterial small subunit ribosomal RNA", at positions 524 to 776 of the family's 1533-position model. The record is from RNAcentral.